Molecule: unclassified non-coding RNA, 1955 nt
Filed under: Bombyx mandarina (wild silkworm)
Lineage: Eukaryota; Metazoa; Arthropoda; Insecta; Lepidoptera; Bombycidae
Description: esterase FE4-like, transcript variant X1
Source: RNAcentral
AUAUUAUGUGUAUUAUCUAUGCGUAUCUCUUUUAAAAGUUAGGCAGGCCACCAAAACCGCAAAUCACAAUAAUAAUAGUAAAGGCUUUGUAGGUAUCCAUAGAUUAUACACUUAAUAUAUUCGAUAGGUACCUACAUUUUAAAAAUUCGUAUCGAUAAUUCAGUAAAUAUGACUGCGAAAAGUGAAAAAACAAAAUUAAAAGUUGAAACAAAAGAAGGUCCUAUAUAUGGAUACAAAGAGACUACCAAUGAAGGCACAUACUGUAAAUUUAAAGGCAUUCCAUAUGCAAAACCACCUGUCGGACAUCUACGAUUCUUGCCUCCUCUCCCUGCCACUCCUUGGACUAAUGAAAAAGACUGCACCCAAGAUCCGCCAAUGGCUUUGACUUGGUCAUUUAAGUAUGAACAUAUAAUUGGCUCUGAAGACUGUCUAUAUAUUGAAGUUUCAACCCCAACUCUUAAGCCGAAGAAACUUAUGCCCGUAAUGUUUUGGAUUGGAAGUUAUGGUUUUUCAUUUAAUAUGGAUUACUUAUAUGACACUUCCCUAAUUAAUAAUCAAGAUGUUGUAUUUGUAACAUGUGGCUUUAGGCUUGGAGCAUUUGGAUUUCUUUCUAUCAAUGAUUUUACAGCUCCAGGGAAUUGUGGACUAAAAGAUGUGGUCCUAGCAUUAAAAUGGGUUCAAAGAAACGUUGAUACAUUUGGAGGAGACCCAAACAAUGUAACAAUAUUUGGUAAUAGUUCUGGAGGUGUCAUGGUACAUUUUAUGAUGUUUUCACCAAUGGCAACUGGCUUAUUUCACAAAGCAAUAAUUCAAAGUGCUUGUGUUUUGAAUAAUUGGUCUUUGGCUAAUCAACCUACACAGCCUGUUAAGGAAUUAGCAAAAUUACUAGGCAUAAACAAAACAUGCUAUAUUGAAAUAAUUGAUGAAUUAAGACUAAAACCAGCCAAUGAAAUUGUUAUAGCCUGUAGAAAAAUGGACGUUGAAUUCUGUAUCGUUCAAGAUAAUAAUAUCAUGGAUGCAGUCUUCAAACCAUGUAUUGAAGUUGAAUUUGAGGGUCAACCUGCAUUUCUUUCUAAAAGGCCCAUUUUUCUAAUAAAAUCAGGUAAUUACAAUAAAGUACCUAUAAUUAUAGGUAGUAACAAUAUAGAAGGAGCUGUGAUACAAUUUGUAAAAGAUGAUUUCUAUGAUUUUGAGAAGUACAACAAAAAUGUCUCUCUGCUUGUACCUAAGUCACUUGCUGGAGAAGAUCCACAGUCAAAAAAUAUUGGUAAUAAGUUACUAAAGUUUUAUCUGGGUGGUGAUGAGCUGUUACGUGAAGACACAAGAGCCCAAUAUUUGCAACUAAUAAGUGACUACUAUUUUCUGUAUCACGUCAAUAAAACUGUAAGACUACACAGUCAAUACUCGCAUGAAUACCCAAUAUAUUACUAUUUACUUACUUAUGCUGGAGAAUGGUGUGUUCCGGAAAGUUUGAAUUUUUUCAAUUCACUUGGACAUUGUGCUGAAAUACCAUUUGUAUUUGGGAUUAAAGUACCAGGAAAGCUCAAUGAAGCAGUGUGCAAAGGAAGUCGUGAUUCUAUUAAAACAAGAAGUAGAGUCGUAAAAAUGUGGACAAAUUUUGCAAAAUAUGGAAAUCCUACACCAGCAAGCGAUGAUCCAUUACUUCAAAUAACUUGGGACCCUGUUCAGAGCAGUGAAAAAUUAAACUAUUUGAGUAUUGGGUCAGAAUUAACAAAAGGAAGAAACCCGUUUCUAGAGAGAAUGCAAUUUUGGGACCAAUUAUACGAAAAUCAUACAUUCCUUAGAGCUCAAGUUUAUUUUAACGAUUUGGGUGUGUCAUGGUAACUACAACAAACUUUAGGUAUAAUAGCCGGCAAACUUCUUGAGCAUUUGUUGACGUAAUGGGGAUUGAACGAAACUAUUCAUUCCGGUAACUUUCUUCUUCCCUGAUCUUU